Molecule: ribosomal RNA, 253 nt
Filed under: uncultured bacterium
Lineage: Bacteria
Description: partial 16S ribosomal RNA
Rfam family: Bacterial small subunit ribosomal RNA
Source: RNAcentral
UACGUAGGGGGCUAGCGUUGUCCGGAAUCAUUGGGCGUAAAGCGCGCGUAGGCGGCCCGGUAAGUCCGCUGUAAAAGUCCAGGGCUCAACCCUGGAAAGCCGGUGGAUACUGUCGGGCUCGAGUCCGGAAGAGGCGAGUGGAAUUCCUGGUGUAGCGGUGGAAUGCGCAGAUAUCAGGAGGAACACCGAUUGCGAAGGCAGCUCGCUGGGACGUUACUGACGCUGAGACGCGAAAGCGUGGGGAGCAAACAGG